RNAcentral lists this ribosomal RNA (774 nucleotides) under uncultured Neocallimastigales. RNAcentral describes it as "partial large subunit ribosomal RNA". It matches the Rfam family "Eukaryotic large subunit ribosomal RNA", at positions 18 to 644 of the family's 3401-position model. The record is from RNAcentral. Lineage: Eukaryota; Fungi; Neocallimastigomycota; Neocallimastigomycetes; Neocallimastigales.
UCAGACGAUGCGUCAUGCAUAUCAAUAAGCGGAGGAAAAGAAAUUAACAAGGAUUCCCCUAGUAACGGCGAGUGAAGCGGGAAGAGCUCAAAUUUGAAAUCUUAAAGGGUUUCCCUUUACGAAUUGUAGUUUAAGGAAGUGUUUUCUGUUGAGGUUUUGGUAAAAGUUCUUUGGAAUAGGACAUCAUAGAGGGUGAGAAUCCCGUAUUUGACCUUUACUUUCAACUUUGUGAUACACUUUCAAAGAGUCGGAUUGUUUGGGAAUGCAGUCCAAAAUGGGUGGUAAAUUUCAUCUAAAGCUAAAUAUUGGCGAGAGACCGAUAGCGAACAAGUACCGUGAGGGAAAGAUGAAAAGAACUUUGAAAAGAGAGUUAAACAGUACGUGAAAUUGUCAAAAGGGAAGCGUUUGACACCAGUGUUGUUUUUCUGAAAAUCAAUUAAAGAACUGUUUAUGCUAAGUUGUUUAGACUUUAUCAGCUAACUGUUUAGUUUUGAGCUUUUCUUUAAUGCACUUUUCAGUUAACAAGUCAACAUCAAUUUCUUUUGCUGUAAAAAAGCUUGAGGAAGGUGGCUUGAGAUUCGUCUUAAGUGUUUAUAGCCUCUUGCCUAUGCAGUCGGAGAGAUUGAGGUCUGCAGCGUAGAUCCUUCGGGGCUAAAUGCAUUUGUGCUAAGUUAUAGCAUUUUAUAGACAACUUGUUGACUAUGAUUUGUCUUGUAGCUUACUCGCUUAUGUUAUUUUACCUACGCUUAGGAUGUUGAAUCUGUGCGAGACUAC